This 385-nucleotide long non-coding RNA is filed under the name Drosophila guanche. Lineage: Eukaryota; Metazoa; Arthropoda; Insecta; Diptera; Drosophilidae. The record is from RNAcentral.
GAGCUCGAACCGAUAACGGGGUGAUUAACAAUUACUCGAUCAAACGCACCGACGCGCGCAGGAAUGGUCGCAAUUUGACAGAGGUGUGUGGGCCGUCUGCAGCCAGCGUUUGCGCGGGGUGUGCGGUGGGUGUGUGUGUUGGUAUGGAGGCGCUUUGAUUUAUAUGACUGCUAGGAUCGGAUCGCCGCCCACCGAUUGGAUGUAUACAGGGUCUCAAUACAGAGACCGCGCGGGUAACGGUAUCUCGGCCGUUGUCGUAGCUGUCGUCGUUGUCUGCAAUUGGAAAUUGUGCUGGGGAAUUGGAGUCGAGUGGAGUGCCAUCGAGCCAUUGGAGCGCCGAGCGAGCACCUCCUUCAACCAUUCAACCACCAACCAACUAUGCCGC